This 429-nucleotide ribosomal RNA is filed under the name Gemmatimonadota bacterium. RNAcentral's name for it is "Gemmatimonadetes bacterium partial 16S ribosomal RNA". It matches the Rfam family "Bacterial small subunit ribosomal RNA", at positions 355 to 776 of the family's 1533-position model. Lineage: Bacteria; Pseudomonadati; Gemmatimonadota. The record is from RNAcentral.
UAGGGAAUCUUCGGCAAUGGACGAAAGUCUGACCGAGCAACGCCGCGUGAGUGAAGAAGGUUUUCGGAUCGUAAAACUCUGUUGUUAGAGAAGAACAAGGACGUUAGUAACUGAACGUCCCCUGACGGUAUCUAACCAGAAAGCCACGGCUAACUACGUGCCAGCAGCCGCGGUAAUACGUAGGUGGCAAGCGUUGUCCGGAUUUAUUGGGCGUAAAGCGAGCGCAGGCGGUUUCUUAAGUCUGAUGUGAAAGCCCCCGGCUCAACCGGGGAGGGUCAUUGGAAACUGGGAGACUUGAGUGCAGAAGAGGAGAGUGGAAUUCCAGGUGUAGCGGUGAAAUGCGUAGAUAUAUGGAGGAACACCAGUGGCGAAGGCGGCUCUCUGGUCUGUAGCUGACGCUGAGGCUCGAAAGCGUGGGGAGCAAACAGG